Molecule: non-coding RNA, 167 nt
Filed under: Ditylum brightwellii
Lineage: Eukaryota; Bacillariophyta; Thalassiosirophyceae; Lithodesmiales; Lithodesmiaceae
Source: RNAcentral
UAGUUCACCCAAAGAAGGAAUGCAAGUAGCAGGAGAAGAAGAAGGAUUGGAUGAAAAAUCCAAUUCAUUCACAUCUUUUUAUUACGAUACAAUCUUUGUUUCUUCUUCCAAUCGUUAUCUGAAUCCUAAUAGUGGGAAUCCUUCUUCUCCAAAAAAUACGAAUCAAG